UAUAAAUAUAAACACGAUUCAACGAGCCCUGUCUCACGCACGAUAACUCCAGACGCCCUCCGCCACCACGCCCCCAUCCCUCCAACUCCGCUGCGCACGGGAGCAGGGGGAACCUGCGACGGCGGUGGCAUGAUCUCCGGCAAGCGGCGGGUUCGAGCGGUGGGGCCGGGAUCUGGUGGCGGCGGCGAGCUCCUGUAGAUCGGCGGCCUAUCCUCUCCUCUGCGUACGCACAAGGCACAAUAGCACGGGGUCCUCUCCCUACACGGCACGGCACCGCCGCCACGCGCGGCCAGUCUUCCUCUCCAGCUACCCUUGAGCAGCGCCGUCGUUGCCCUGUUCUUCUUCGCCUCCUCACCCGCCCCAACUCCUCACCCCCAGCCCUCUCCACCUCGAGGCGGACGUCUCUGAUUUGGAUAGGAGUCGAUGGCGUGUUCACGAUGGAAUACUGCUCCAACACGUAGCUAUGGGUCCAACCCGAAUAUCAGAUCAAUCUCCCUGCCAUAAGAAGAAACCCUAGAGUGGAAGCACAAGUAAAUCGCAUCGCAAGUUUGUAAGACGAGAUUGUUGUGCGGGAACUGUCCAAUCUCGCCUCCACCUACUUCGCCGGAAGACCAUCUGCAAUCCGACGUUGCUCUACACAUCGCCGGAACUCCGAGUGCCGGUUCUCCAUGAGGUAUUGCAUACUGAAGACACAAGGAGAAUUGGAAUCAUGCUAUUUGUUUUUCUAGAAACCUACAGUUAAUGAAGCAAACAUAAACUGAACCUUAGUGUGCUACUUCCUGAUCUUCAGCUAAUUUUUCAUUGAUUGAUUCAUUGUUGUGUUUAGUUAGUCUAUCCACAAGCUAGAGGGACUAGGUUAAUUAAGAACAAUGUCUAAGGUAAUGAUUCACUAUGUACAGGUUGCCACCAUGUCAUAUUUGGUUGGCUUAGAGUGACAAGUAUUUCAAGGGUAAUCAAGUUGAUAAGCACCAGCUUAAAUUCAACCAAAAAUUUUAUGGCGUGAUCUCAAAUCUGUGAGCACACGAACCACGGAACUUCACCCAGCCAUUCUGGAUUUUUUAAUUGAGAGACAACUAAUUUCUCAUUGUUUGAUUCAUCAUGCUUACUCGCUCUGUCCUAGAGAGACUAACAUUGUUCUGAUUCACUUCAGUUAAAUUUUCCAGUAGCUUUAGCUCUGUACAUUGGCAUGAAAAGGUGUUUGCCGUUUAGACGAAUUAACUGUUGGAUACUCCAUGAAAGAGGUAGGCCCAUCGCAUGAUUAGGAAGAAUAAGGUGUAUGCUAUACUUGAACAGAUUCCGUUAAGGAGACCAUUUAGCAUGGUCUGCUGGUUAUAGCCUUCUGUCUUGAACUGUAGGCAGAAGUGAAUUUGCUGCUUUGUGCACUCAGGAAGCUGAUUUCGUGUCGUGAACUCUACAGUUGCAUAUAUUUAGUCCCUCUACACAAGCAGGCACAAACGUCCUUUUGAUUUAUUUAUUUUUGAAUUAGGCCGCAUAAGUAGGCAGCAGUUACAAUCAAUGGUGAUGCAGAUUGAAGUACAGGCAAGAUUGCACCUUUAGUAACAUCAGUAUCAACUAUCAAGUAUGUUUAAUCUCAUUUAUCCGUAAGCUUAAUAUGUUGUAUACUUGUAUGGUGAUGCAGAGUUGAAGUACACUGCAAUCUGCACUGGGAUGUCCGUAAGCUUAAUCUCAUUUAUCCAUUGAAGGAGGUCGUCCUUGUGAUCACUGGAAACAUGUUUGUGAUUGAGGCACACAGCAAAAUGGCUCACACUCACCACCAUUACUCGAAGGACCAUCUCCAUAUACGAGUUGCUUUACCUGAAAGCAUAUUUCUGAAGAUAUAUAUUUUUUCGUAUUUGUUUUAUAUUUUUGGACAACUGGUUGUUUAUAUUGGUGGAGAUCCAGUGCUUUACAGAGCCCGCAUAUAAAGGUAAUGUGUAUUGCUAUUUUUCUUACUUAGUAGCAUUAGAAUCUCCCCAUCUCUUUAUACGGAGGUGAUGACGAAGGAGGAAGAGUUGUGUCAGGCCCAGCUCAAGCUAGAUGAAGAAGAGGAGGCCAGAAAGAGAGAAUCAGCAAGGCAGAAGCCUUUUGAUCUCAAGGCACGAUUCUGCGGGUUGGUGAGCUACUAACAAAGACACACCUCUAUUCUGAAUUUCUACUUGAAAAAGAUGGACCAUCAGUUACGGAAUAUGUUCGCUGUUGACAUUGGUGGUGGUGUCUUUUGGUUCAACAUGAAGUUGUUUAAGUGAAAAAUGCAGUGGAACAUGUGGAACAAAGGACGUGGUAUGGAAAGGAAAGCAAAGCAAAGCCUAAACAGUACAAUGAUGCAGGUUCAGAUUUCAUAUGUUAUCUUCCCUGCCUCAGGAAUAUGAAAUGGUUGUCUUCUAGAUUAUGAACGUGUCUUUAUUUGUCAUGUAUUGUCGACGCACUGUGUAGUCUGUACUAAUUCUACUGAGACUGCUUGAUCUCUUAUCAUUCACACUUCAGAAUUUUCUAAUUAUCUUAUUAUUAGUAGUAUCAUCCUUCCAACGUACUGAUUCACAAAUCUUAGCUAAUUAGGAAGGAACUACAUGUUUAUCCAUUCUUUUUCAGAUAUGGUGCUCUUGUAGGCGAAGUAGAUGCAUAAUUCUUUUGGAAGGAAGGGCAGGCACACUAGAUAAUGAUGUAUUAUGUUUCUGGCCCAGAACAGGCAGCCCCCAUCAUCCACAACCUUGAUUCCACAAUAUACCCCGCUGAUAUGAUCUAGAGGAGCGAGGAGCUGGGCAAGGAGUCACUGCCGGUUCACAUGACCAAGAAGGGGUACGCGAUUUUGGGAAGAGAUGCAGGAAGACUGGAAGAAGAUUGACUUCAGUCGCUUCGGCAUCGCCGGCAGCGCCGACGGGAUCCUGCUUUAUUCCGAAGAACUGAUUUUAUAUGAUUCUGAACCUAGCCGUCCAACAUCAUAUCUGUCCAGCUAUACAAGCUUGUAUGCAGCCAAGUUAGUUGCUUUAUUAUGGACUCAACGAGGAAGAGCACUACCACUUUUUCAGAAUUUGAUUUUGUGAACCUUCAUGUUGCACUAUCACAUAUUGCACAUGAGUUGAUUCAGGUUUCCAGAGUUCAGACCACAACAAUCAAUCGGUCUGAAGGUGCUCCUGUUUUAUAUCAGAUCGUGAGGAAUGGGGACCCUUUUUGGAUAUUUGACUACUAUAUUUGCAUGCCGGAGUUCGCCGCCGUCUGCCGUGCUGUGAUUUUUGGGUAUGAUGCUAGAUUACGUGGUUGCAUAGUUCCUUCUUUUUCUUCUUCAAAUUCAAUAUUCUUGGGUCAUGGUGUGCUCAUGCUGAUUUGCAGCCCGGAUGAUAGUCCGUGGGAGGGAGGUUAGUUGAUCUAGCUGUAUUUAGUAGCUAUUUCAAUAAUGUUAUAGAAUCUUUGCUAAACACCUUUGGUGUUGAUUGUUCUUGAACUAAAGAAAUUUACAAUGUAGAAUUGGCAUAAUUCACUUCCUGGAUGAAAAAAGAAGUUGCGUGUCCUUUAGUCAGCAAAUCAAGUUGAGCGAUGCAGCACGUUGGGGAAAAGUCGCAGCGGAAGGCUUUUUCCUAAAGGGAUUGAGAUUACCAGGAUUCAGAUUGGAUCCCUGCUGUGUCAGUGCGGAGAACUGCUCGAACACGUAGGCAUGACAUGACCGAUGCUGAUUACGCCCGAACUGCCCUCCUUUGACAUAAAAGAUUCUCGAGCCCCUCGACUGAAAUCCCGACUAAACGCAAGUUUCCCUUCUUGAAAUUACUGCGUCUGAAGCUUCCAAUCUCGCCAACUUCGCUGGAGAAUCGUGCGCCCGUGCUCGAGCAGAGGUACAAUUUUCAGUACUGUUUUUAGGGGCUUCUACAUGAAUCCCAUGCAUGGCUUUGUGGCAUGCAAGACUUUCUUGCUAGACAAGCAAGAAAACAGAGCCAUCACGCUUGCCCUACCGUAGCAGCCUUCAAAGCACCACAUAACGUGGGCUCUCUCAAUGUCAGUUCAUUAGCUGAGCUGAUUUCACAUGUUAACAUCAUGUAAUCUUUUUUCUACAUUGCACAUUUAUCAGUUGGAUUACAUCGUAGACUGCAGUUCAGAUCAUUAUCAUGUAGGUUGCUCCUUUGAAAGUUAGACUUCAUAAAGAAGCAAUUUGAUCCGACCACAAUACCUCUGAAUAGAUGCAUCAUGGAUUUGUGGGUUCACCAUCUUGGAAGGUGCAAUUCUGGUGAUGGUGUCAUAAUUGAUAAAUAUGUACGUUGCUUCAUAUGUUGGAUAGUUUUGGCGGCCUUCUGUGUGAGGUAGACUUGACUGAUGAGGGCUUGAAAAGGGGCCUUGGUUGUCUGUCAACUGAAAACUCUGUUUGUGCACAACCUAUAUCCUCUAUGAGAAGGAACUGGAUGGAGCAAGUUCUACAUGCCUCAAAUUGCUUAAAUAUAUGCUAAGCUCACUUGAUUUACCCAGCGGAAUAAACAAAAACUGGGUCCAGAACUACUGCAUGCGUAAUGCAACACUUCUUUUAUGUACUACCUCAAUGCGGGAGUGUUAAUUGUUGAUCCCACUAAGUCUGCAUUUGUUAAAACAUGGUGUUUUGGUAGGAGAUGACUGUCAACUCAGUGCAAUGGUUAGAGCAAAGUAAGGUAUUGCCUCACCCUCUUUAUACUGUCUGAUUUCACUUACUCAUUGGUGCAUUUACUAAAAGAUAAACUUCUGAUACUAAAAUGCUUUUUUUUUCUUGAGAAAAAUUGUAAUGGCCAUAUCUUUCCUUUAUGUUCCAUUGUUAUUUAUCUGUUUUUGAUAAUCUUAAUUCUUACUUUCCAUUGUUUAUCUCUAGGUAUGCAAAGAAGUUGGAUUUGCGACAAGUUUAUUUGGGAGAUUGGUUAUGCUCCAAUUUAAUAUACAUUUGCUGAACAUACAGUAUCACAUGAAUCCUUCUUCAGGUUAUUUCCAAAUGUCCAGUUUUAUGAGAGGAAGAUUAGCAUGGCGGCCAAGUUGAAGGUGCACUUCCACGCCGGCGGCCCGAUCUCGACGGCAAUCCGACGCAGGCGGCGUCCACCAACAGCUCCUCCUCCAAGGACGAGGUGGGCCACGUGCAAGAGACCUACGUGCAGAUUUGCUGUUUCAUGUCAUUUAUUUUCUUAUUUCCUGUUUGGUUUUAAUUCCAGUUUUUUGUUUGUAAUAGUUGUUCAUGGGAUGAAAUUUCCAAAUCACGUUGGUUUGUUUGCAUACCCAAAUUGUAAUGAUUAUAUUUUAUUACUUUCCAUCGUGGAUAGAGAUGUAUUUGUCCUCAUUUUGCUCUUGAACUAUGGAAUUUCUUGACAAGUA
Molecule: long non-coding RNA, 5310 nt
Organism: Triticum aestivum (bread wheat)
Lineage: Eukaryota; Viridiplantae; Streptophyta; Magnoliopsida; Poales; Poaceae
Exons: 3
Source: RefSeq, a predicted model, not a curated record